This 253-nucleotide unclassified non-coding RNA is filed under the name uncultured Parcubacteria group bacterium. RNAcentral describes it as "contains 16S-23S intergenic spacer region". It matches the Rfam family "Bacterial small subunit ribosomal RNA", at positions 524 to 776 of the family's 1533-position model. The record is from RNAcentral.
UACGUGAGCCCCAGGCGUUACCCGGAAUUAUUGGGCGUAAAGGGUCCGUAGGGGGUUGUAUUAGUCUUGUGUUAAAUAUCGUGGCUCAACCACGGUACUGCGCAGGAAACGGUACAACUAGAGGGUGUGAGAGGUUGGUGGAACGCACGGUGUAGGGGUGAAAUCCGUUGAUAUCGUGCGGAACACCAAAGGCGAAGGCAGCCAACUGGCGCAACCCUGACCCUGAUGGACGAAAGCGUGGGUAGCGAACCGG